This 517-nucleotide long non-coding RNA is filed under the name Phoenix dactylifera (date palm). Its description in RNAcentral is "long non-coding RNA (PDAC_LNC022731)". The record is from RNAcentral. Lineage: Eukaryota; Viridiplantae; Streptophyta; Magnoliopsida; Arecales; Arecaceae.
CCUUUUUUUGGUACAGAAAUAUCUUUAGUUGUCCAUCUAAUAGAUAGAAAAAUCGUCUUUAUUUAAACAUUACGCUACUUACUUGAAAAUAAAGUAGCUCUAUAUGGCUCGAGAAUCUUUACACUGAAGAAAUUGUGAUGCAAUAGAAUUAAACAAGAAGAGGACGUAUUUGCUCUCACAUCGUCAGCAUUCUUACCGGAAGGAACACAUUUCACAAGAGUUAAUUUUGUGUCUUCUACGAAGCACAAAAUGCAAGUGUAACUGAACCCACUCUAUGCCACGCAAGAAGCAAACUUUAAUUGAAUCACUCAUCAAAUACGCAAAAAUCACGACAGGUUCCCCCUUUCUUGGUGGGAAUUAGCUCUACAUUGCUUUCCAUUUUUAAAACUAGAAACAUAUAGUGGGAAAUGAUCUAGAAAAGUCCGCAUUGGAGGAGAAUUGGACCAACCGCUACCUCUACCCUUAAGGAUUCGAGUUUGGGAAACCUCGAAGAAGAAGACGAGGAGCAACGGAACAA